RNAcentral lists this long non-coding RNA (1308 nucleotides) under Amazona collaria (yellow-billed parrot). RNAcentral describes it as "lncRNA (ENSACOG00000012479.1)". The record is from RNAcentral. Lineage: Eukaryota; Metazoa; Chordata; Aves; Psittaciformes; Psittacidae.
GGUUCCUGGGCUUGCCCCGGCCCACUGGCAGGCUCUCCGCUAUGUACUGGUGAUCCGUCUCCAAGUUCAGCUUCCUCUUCACCUGCAAGCGAUGGGGCUCAUUGGGGGGGGGCAGCCACCCCCCCCAGGGACCCCUCCCCGGGGGUGCCGAGCCCCGCUGCCGGUAGGAGCGGGGUCACGGGAGCGGCUCCACCGCUGACACACACACACCGGGGCCGGGGUCCCGCCACGCUGCAGGGAGCGCCCCAAGGCAGGCAGGAACAGAGCCCGGACCAGCGGGGCGGCUUCCGGAGAGGCCGCGCUCGGCAGGUGCGCUGCGUGGCACAGCACAGGGCAUGGCACGGCACGCUGUGGCACGGUAGAGGGCACGGCACAACAAGGUGCGGAGCAGGGAGCAGCACUGCCCGGCGUGGCACGGCAGAGCCCGACCCAGUACGCAGCCCAACCCAACGCGGCCCAAUAUCUCACGGCUCGGGGCAUAGCACGGCCCAGUACCCAGCACAGCCCCGCCGUAGCCCGCAGAGUCCCGGUCUCCGCAGCCCCCUCCCCACCCCGAUCCCAGUCCAGGUGGUUACCGGCGGGCGGCCCAGCGCGGGCCGGCGCGGCGCAGCUCCGGGCCGGGCGGGUUGCGGUGUGGCGAAGAGCAAGACCUGGUCGGUAUCGGGGUGUCCUCCGCCGCCUCCGCCCGCGGGCUCGUCAGCGGCGGCGGAGACGAUGAGGAGGUGCGGGGAGGAGCUGCCCAGCAGCGCCGCCAGCCCCGCCGCGCCGCCGCCCGCCGCCGCCAUGGCUCACAUGGCCACCGGGGCGACGGGCGGCGGGGCGGGGAAGGCGCUUGGAGGGUCACGGCCCAUGACGGGGCAGCGAGAACCGCUCCCACCGCCCGUAUUGUUCGGUACGACCGGCUCCGGCGCGCCUUCUUUGCGCGCCAAAUCCUUUUUGCCGCGAAAGCGGCGCGAGCCUCCCCGCCACCCGCCUCAUUGGCUGCCACAGACACCGGGAACCGCAGUAGGAGGAGCGGAGGAGCCGUCUCAUUGGUCAAUGACGGGCGGUGCCGCACUCUUAUUGGUUGAGGGUGGACAGGAGGCCAAUCAGCGGCGCCGCGGGGGUGGGGAGCGGGGACAGUGGGGCGGUGAAAGGGAAGAAACGGCGGCAUCUGCCGUCGUUUCGCCCCUUUCACCGCCCCACUGUCCGUCCUCCCCCCUCCCCCCAGGGAAUUCCAGCUCCAAAGCAUCCUUAUCCCAGCAUCCAGGUCCUGCCCCGUGUUUUGCAUCGGAUGAGGAGGAGGAAGGCACUGGCACACACCCAUGA